ACAAAGGCUGCUUUUGCAACCACAGUAUUUAUUCAUUUCAUUAAUGU
Colius striatus (speckled mousebird) is the source of this 47-nucleotide non-coding RNA. The record is from Rfam. NCBI's taxonomy places the organism in Eukaryota, Metazoa, Chordata, Aves, Coliiformes, Coliidae.